GGGGGUUAUUAAGGGAUCAGGCGCUAAUAUCAAAUAUUAUAACGUGCUAUUAUUAUCCUAAGGCGCUAUGCCAGGCGGGAAAUAAAGGUAAUACAGCCUUGGGAAAACGAAACAGUGAUUUCCAAAGGCUUCAGGUCGUCUUCCUGUUGGACUUCAGAACCGUCUGCCUUGAUAACCUGCCUGUCCUGGUUAAUAUGUUAGAAGAAGACAAACAGUUUUGUUUGCUGUAUUGGCCAACGCUGCGUGAGUGAUGAAGGGUCUAACAUCAGGGACGCCAGGAGCGACCCCAAUCCGGUGUGUGGCGUUCAGGGUUGGCCCCGCCAGUUGGGAGACCACCUCUGUGUGUCUUGGUUAAUGCCCAACUCACCCUCCGACUGCUUCCCGUAAGCCACUCCGUGUGGGUGGAUGCUGUACGCGCCGUAAGCCAUGUUUCUGAACGUGACGACAAUCGUCUCCCCCUCCUUGGCCCUCAGCGUGGGUCCCAGCAGACCUGCAGAGAGAGGCACAGGAUCGAGUUUCUUUAUUUGGAUUUGUGUGCGAGCAGUUCUGGGAUUUUGCGCAAUGUGAAAACACAUUGGGGGCAAGUUUGGUACCCCUCUCGCGUUUUCUGGGUAAUUAUUAAAUAUUUGACUGUG
Xiphophorus hellerii (green swordtail) is the source of this 635-nucleotide long non-coding RNA. RefSeq lists it as uncharacterized. The record is from RefSeq and is a predicted model, not a curated record. NCBI's taxonomy places the organism in Eukaryota, Metazoa, Chordata, Actinopteri, Cyprinodontiformes, Poeciliidae. The transcript has 2 exons.